Molecule: ribosomal RNA, 465 nt
Filed under: uncultured bacterium
Lineage: Bacteria
Description: partial 16S ribosomal RNA
Rfam family: Bacterial small subunit ribosomal RNA
Source: RNAcentral
GACGAACGCUGGCGGCGUGCUUAACACAUGCAAGUCGAACGGAAAGGCCCUGCUUGCCGGGUACUCGAGUGGCGAACGGGUGAGUAACACGUGGGUGAUCUGCCCUGCACUUCGGGAUAAGCCUGGGAAACUGGGUCUCAUACCGGAUAGGAGCCAUUUUUAGUGUGAGGGUUGGAAAGUUUUUUCGGUGUAGGAUGAGCUCGCGGCCUAUCAGCUUGUUGGUGGGGUAAUGGCCUACCAAGGCGGCGACGGGUAGCCGGCCGGGGAGGGUGGACGGCCACCUUGGGACUGGGAUACGGCCCCGACCCCUACGGGAGGCAGGCGGGGGGAAUUUUGCACAAUGGGCGCAAGCCUGAUGGAGCGACGCCGCGGGGGGGAUGACGGCCUUCGGGUUGGAAACUCCUUUCGCUAGGGACGAAGCUUUUUGUGACGGUACCUAGAGAAGAAGCACCGGCUAACUACGUG